Molecule: ribosomal RNA, 493 nt
Filed under: uncultured bacterium
Lineage: Bacteria
Description: partial 16S ribosomal RNA
Rfam family: Bacterial small subunit ribosomal RNA
Source: RNAcentral
AUUGAACGCUGGCGGCAUGCUUUACACAUGCAGGUCGAACGGUAACAGGUUAAGCUGACGAGUGGCGAACGGGUGAGUAAUGCAUCGGAACGUGCCCGGUCGUGGGGGAUAACGCAGCGAAAGCUGCGCUAAUACCGCAUACGAUCUGAGGAUGAAAGCGGGGGACCGUAAGGCCUCGCGCGAUCGGAGCGGCCGAUGGCAGAUUAGGUAGUUGGUGGGGUAAAGGCUCACCAAGCCAACGAUCUGUAGCUGGUCUGAGAGGACGACCAGCCACACUGGGACUGAGACACGGCCCAGACUCCUACGGGAGGCAGCAGUGGGGAAUUUUGGACAAUGGGCGAAAGCCUGAUCCAGCAAUGCCGCGUGCAGGAAGAAGGCCUUCGGGUUGUAAACUGCUUUUGUACGGAGCGAAAAGGUCUCCUCUAAUACAGGGGGCUCAUGACGGUACCGUAAGAAUAAGCACCGGCUAACUACGUGCCAGCAGCCGCCGUAA